Molecule: ribosomal RNA, 812 nt
Filed under: uncultured bacterium
Lineage: Bacteria
Description: bacterial SSU rRNA
Rfam family: Bacterial small subunit ribosomal RNA
Source: RNAcentral
GUAAGCGUUCGUAGGCGGUUUGUUAAGUUAGAUGUGAAAGCCCCGGGGAAGCCUGGGAACUGCAUUUAAAACUGGCAAACUCGAGUAAGGAGAGGGAAGUGGAAUUUCAGGUGUAGCAGUGAAAUGCGUAGAGAUCUGAAGGAACACCAGUGGCGAAGGCGACUUCCUGGACUAAAACUGACGCUGAGGAACGAAAGCGUGGGUAGCAAACGGGAUUAGAUACCCCGGUAGUCCACGCCGUAAACGAUGUCAACUAGCCGUUGGGCCUAUAUACAGGUUUAGUGGCGGAGCUAACGUAUUAAGUUGACCGCCUGGGGAGUACGGCCGCAAGGUUAAAACUCAAAUGAAUUGACGGGGGCCCGCACAAGCGGUGGAGCAUGUGGUUUAAUUCGAUGCUUUUUUUAAGAACCUUACCUACCCUUGACAUCCAGAGAAUCUGUUAGAGAUAGUAGAGUGCCUUCGGGAGCUCUGAGACAGGUGCUGCAUGGCUGUCGUCAGCUCGUGUCGUGAGGUGUUGGGUUAAGUCCCGUAACGAGCGCAACCCUUAUCCUUAGUUGCUAGCAGGUCAAGCUGAGAACUCUAAGGAGACUGCCGGUGAUAAACCGGAGGAAGGUGGGGACGACGUCAAGUCAUCAUGGCCCUUAUGGGUAGGGCUACACACGUGCUACAAUGGUCGGUACAGAGGGCCGCAAACUCGCGAGAGUAAGCUAAUCCCAGAAAGCCGAUCUUAGUCCGGAUUGCAGUCUGCAACUCGACUGCAUGAAGUUGGAAUCGCUAGUAAUCGCGGAUCAGAAUGCCGCGGUGAAUACGUU